ACUCCUCGGGAGGCAGCAGUGGGGAAUCUUAGACAAAUGGGGAAACCGUAGCAUCUAGCCAUGCCGCGUGAGCGAUGAAGGCCUUAGGGUUGUAAAGCUCUUUCAGCUGGGAAGAUAAUGACGGUACCAGCAGAAGAAGCCCGCGUAUAUCCGUGCCAGCAGCCGCGGUAAUACGGAGGGCGUAGCGUUGUUCGGAAUUACUGGGCGUAAAGCGCACGUAGGCGGAUUGGUAAGUUGGGGUGAAAUCCCGGGCUCAACCCGCACGAGCUC
Molecule: ribosomal RNA, 270 nt
Filed under: uncultured bacterium
Lineage: Bacteria
Description: partial 16S ribosomal RNA
Rfam family: Bacterial small subunit ribosomal RNA
Source: RNAcentral